RNAcentral lists this ribosomal RNA (194 nucleotides) under Limosilactobacillus fermentum. RNAcentral describes it as "Lactobacillus fermentum partial 16S ribosomal RNA". It matches the Rfam family "Bacterial small subunit ribosomal RNA", at positions 338 to 524 of the family's 1533-position model. Lineage: Bacteria; Bacillati; Bacillota; Bacilli; Lactobacillales; Lactobacillaceae. The record is from RNAcentral. RNAcentral also lists the same sequence under 1 other name.
CCUACGGGAGGCAGCAGUAGGGAAUCUUCCACAAUGGGCGCAAGCCUGAUGGAGCAACACCGCGUGAGUGAAGAAGGGUUUCGGCUCGUAAAGCUCUGUUGUUAAAGAAGAACACGUAUGAGAGUAACUGUUCAUACGUUGACGGUAUUUAACCAGAAAGUCACGGCUAACUACGUGCCAGCAGCCGCGGUAAU